AUGCCAAAAAACAAAACAAAACCAAACCAACCUUCCCCUCUCUGCAUGCUUAGAAGCUGACGUGCUUUGGAAGAAAGAGCCUUUUCCACCGGGCACAAGGGGAAGAAGUAACUUAACAGUCUAAAGAAGACGUGCCUGUGGGAAAGGAGUCCAACGCUAAUGUGGUGGCACCUGUCUUGUCCUGGGGAGAGCAAAGAGGACACUGAAGAGACAGUAUAAACAGGUAAACAUUUGUGUUUCAUCUAAUAAAUAGCAACUGUACAUGCACCCUGGACAUUUUACUAGAUUUGCUGCACUACAGGUGUUUACAUUGAUGAAUCUACAACUAAGAAGAAAAAGGAAACAAGUCUUGAAGUGUAAAGAAAAUGAGCUGAGCCAGGUAUGUGAAGGUAGACAGAUGCUUGUGCAGUGAGGCAUGCUGGUGGCCCAAAACAUUCAAGCUUACUACAUUAAAUGAGCUGUUACGGUAUGAGGUCCUAGUGGAAUUGAUUAAAAUUGGAGGUAUGCAUUUGGAGUUGCAUUUAUAAAGGUAUUUUUUCAGGUGUUUUGUUGAACAACUUUCCAAGAAUUGAAGUGGAGCUGAAUGUUAUAUGUUUCCCAGUUUCCCCUUUUGAAG
This is a long non-coding RNA of Dromaius novaehollandiae (emu), 616 nucleotides long. RefSeq lists it as uncharacterized. NCBI's taxonomy places the organism in Eukaryota, Metazoa, Chordata, Aves, Casuariiformes, Dromaiidae. The transcript has 5 exons. The record is from RefSeq and is a predicted model, not a curated record.